CGGACGGGUGAGUAACGCGUGAGAACCUGCCCUUGGGAGGGGGACAACCACUGGAAACGGUGGCUAAUACCGGAUGUGCCGAAAGGUGAAAGGUUAACUGCCUGAAGAUGAGCUCGCGUCUGAUUAGCUAGUUGGAAGUGUAAUGGACUCCCAAGGCGACGAUCAGUAGCUGGUCUGAGAGGACGAUCAGCCACACUGGGACUGAGACACGGCCCAGACUCCUACGGGAGGCAGCAGUGGGGAAUUUUCCGCAGUGGGCGAAAGCCUGACGGAGCAAUACCGCGUGAGGGAGGAAGGCUCUUGGGUCGUAAACCUCUUUUCUCAGGGAAGAACACAAUGACGGUACCUGAGGAAUAAGCAUCGGCUAACUCCGUGCCAGCAGCCGCGGUAAUACGGAGGAUGCAAGCGUUAUCCGGAAUGAUUGGGCGUAAAGCGUCCGCAGGUGGCAAUGUAAGUCUGCUGUUAAAGAGUCUAGCUCAACUAGAUAAGAGCAGUGGAAACUACAUAGCUAGAGUACGUUCGGGGCAGAGGGAAUUCCUGGUGUAGCGGUGAAAUGCGUAGAGAUCAGGAAGAACACCAGUGGCGAAGGCGCUCUGCUAGGCCGUAACUGACACUGAGGGACGAAAGCUAGGGGAGCGAAUGGGAUUAGAUACCCCAGUAGUC
This 663-nucleotide ribosomal RNA is filed under the name uncultured cyanobacterium. RNAcentral's name for it is "bacterial SSU rRNA". It matches the Rfam family "Bacterial small subunit ribosomal RNA", at positions 99 to 795 of the family's 1533-position model. The record is from RNAcentral. Lineage: Bacteria; Bacillati; Cyanobacteriota.